Molecule: ribosomal RNA, 330 nt
Filed under: Blastococcus sp. TF02A-30
Lineage: Bacteria; Bacillati; Actinomycetota; Actinomycetes; Geodermatophilales; Geodermatophilaceae
Description: bacterial LSU rRNA
Rfam family: Bacterial large subunit ribosomal RNA
Source: RNAcentral
UGUGGCCAAGUUGUUAAGGGCACACGGUGGAUGCCUGGGCACCAGGAGCCGAUGAAGGACGUAGGAGGCUGCGAUAAGCCUCGGGGAGCUGUCAACCGAGCGUUGAUCCGAGGAUUUCCGAAUGGGGGAACCCCGCACCAGUCAUGUGGUGUGACCCGCGCCUGAACACAUAGGGCGUGUGGAGGGAACGUGGGGAAGUGAAACAUCUCAGUACCCACAGGAAGAGAAAACAACCGUGAUUCCGUGAGUAGUGGCGAGCGAAAGCGGAUGAGGCUAAACCGUUUCCAUGUGAUACCCGGCAGGGGUUGUGGGAGCGGGGUCGUGGGACAG